CCUAAAAACAAACACUUAAACCUUCCAUGUUUUUGUUUAAGCUACUCAUUUGGAUUUUCUGUCCCGUCAAGGGAGCAUCAUCCUACACGAUGUCCUUGACAUACCUGUCAUCCCUGGGAUGUUUGGUAGCAACUGAUUUUCUACCCUUGUAGUUGAGGGAAAGAAAAAGCAAGAGUGAGAAGCCAUUUCUUUCCUCGCUCACUAAAUGGAGGAAUGGAACUUGGUGGUCUGGAAGUGCUGAGGCGGAUCUCGUGCCAGGCGGUGUCCUGUGACAGAGAGGGGAGAGGCGCUGAGCCCUGGGUGAGGAUGCCGGAACCUGCCCCACAGGAAAGCAUGUGCUUCUAGAAUACUAGAAAGGGCCAGAACCUUGGGAUCCUGGAAAGACCUUGAGCGCCUGGAGACCGGGAGCUUCCCUUUGGCUUGUUUACUGGUCAGGGAGGGGCCAGCUGCUCUCUGCUCUUUGACAAGAUGCACUUGUUAAAAUAGUUGGCGGGAAGGUCAUACUAUCGGAUUUAUUCUGAGGGGGCAGAGGUUCGCUCUUGCCCACAGCAGCCUGUCUUCCUCUUGCAACAGAAAGGCCCAUGCUGGGGGACAGAGUGUGACCCCAUCAGUUUCCACAGGUGCACUUGGAGGAGAAGGAGCAGGGUCUUAGCACGGUCCUCAGGCAUCUCCAGGGAGGCUAUGCCAGGGGAGAAGGCAGCCAGGCCCGGCUCCCACGUGGAACUCCACGCUCUCCACCUACCCAGCGAUUUUCCCUCUCGAGGCAAGGAGCAUCUCACUCCCAGGUCCAGGAGGCCUUGAUUUACUUAUUAAUUAUGGCUCCUACAUCCAACCGGUCUCCUUAGUAACCAGAGUAGCAGAGUCCCAGCCGGAAACGCUGCUUCUUAUUUCCAAAGAGGACAACACUCUUCACAUUUAAAAACAUUUUUAAGUUGGAACACAAAUGGCAAGAAUAUACAGGGACACAUUUCCCAACUUUGCAUCAAAAUAUGGGUGGGCUUUUGGACGACUGACAGCAAGAGGAAUUCAGUGAUCAAUAAGAGGACAUAAGAGCAAGGUUUAAGGUGAAGAGUUGGGUACGACUUAUGACCCCAGUGUCCAGCUGAGAAGGGGUGCUGUGAGAACAGAAGGAGUUCUACGCUGGAGAGGCCGGUCUUGGUGACGAGAGAUAUGCUAGUGAAUGGAGGCCAGCGCAGGUUAUACCGCAGUGGCCCAGAUCAGGAAAUCUCGUCUCCAAACUCUUUGUCGCCACCACUGCGGGAGUCGUGACAGCCAGCUCCAGCAGGAACCUGUGCUGAAGUGGAAAAGGGCCCCUUCCAACCCUGUCUCCCCUGCCUCACAUCAAACUGUUGGCUUAACGCGGGUAGAAUGCCAUUUCACGAAACUGUUGUUGUUCAUGUGAGAUGACUAUCUUCCCAAAGCUAUUUUGUGGUUCUGGAAGAGGAAAACACAAAAUAGAUUUUUUCUUUUCCUUUUUGGGACAGAAAGUAGUUUUGGUUCUUUGCAAAAUAAAACAAUGAAUCGCUAA
This is a long non-coding RNA of Marmota monax (woodchuck), 1528 nucleotides long. RefSeq lists it as uncharacterized. The record is from RefSeq and is a predicted model, not a curated record. The transcript is spliced from 4 exons. Lineage: Eukaryota; Metazoa; Chordata; Mammalia; Rodentia; Sciuridae.